Molecule: transfer RNA, 67 nt
Filed under: Parapolybia tinctipennis
Lineage: Eukaryota; Metazoa; Arthropoda; Insecta; Hymenoptera; Vespidae
Description: tRNA-Gly
Source: RNAcentral
ACUUAUAAAGUAUUAUAUACAUUUAAUUUCCAAUUAAAAACCCCAUUAAAAAAUAAUGGUAUAAGUA